UCGUGCUAGGUGGGGAGUUAGCGGUGCCUUGUAACCCGAAAUCCGCUUAGCGGGGCUGAAUUCCCUUUGAAGGGCGUGGGCUGGUACAGCCGUUUCUAAUUUUGGCGUCGAUUGGACACUGCGCAACAGACGAAUAUGAACCCCGUCAGGUCCGGAAGGAAGCAGCGGUAAGUAUCCCCGGCUGUGUCGUGGUCUACUCUAAUCAGAUGCCAGAAGGUGGGCGGUUGAUUUCCACUCGGUUCGACAAAGGGUGCACGG
This 258-nucleotide signal recognition particle RNA is filed under the name Desulforhabdus amnigena. RNAcentral's name for it is "Bacterial large signal recognition particle RNA". It matches the Rfam family "Bacterial large signal recognition particle RNA". Rfam says of the family: The signal recognition particle (SRP) is a universally conserved ribonucleoprotein involved in the co-translational targeting of proteins to membranes. Archaeal SRP consists of a 7S RNA and homologues of the eukaryotic SRP19 and SRP54 proteins. RNAcentral also lists the same sequence under 1 other name. Lineage: Bacteria; Pseudomonadati; Thermodesulfobacteriota; Syntrophobacteria; Syntrophobacterales; Syntrophobacteraceae. The record is from Rfam by way of RNAcentral.